Molecule: long non-coding RNA, 413 nt
Filed under: Homo sapiens (human)
Lineage: Eukaryota; Metazoa; Chordata; Mammalia; Primates; Hominidae
Description: HSALNT0053020
Source: RNAcentral
UCACUCCAGUGAUGCUCAGAUUGCAGACAAUGGAGGCUCAGAGAGCAGGCUCAAAGGGAGAAAGGGACUUGGUGCAAUGAGUAAGAACUAGAAAAAAGUGCCUGAAUGUCAAAGAGAACUGGUGGGGACAGAGGUCUGACUCUGGACAGAACUUGAAGCUGCCACUGGAACUGUCUCAUCCAGCCACUGUGUCAUACAAAAAAGAAAGAAGAGGGUUUGUUCACGCAUCAUGAGGAAAUACCAGCUGCUCUAAAUGACUUCAAAUUUGCUUGAUCCAAACAAGUUGCAUGUCAGGUAUAGAAAGAGGGUGGAAGGAAGAGCCCAAGAAUCUAGGGUCUCAGAGACUUGAACUCUGGACUCAUGGUCAACCAGACUCUCUCUCCAUUCAGUUCCCAAACCAGUUUGUCACAACU